GAUGAACGCUGGCGGCGUGCCUAAUACAUGCAAGUCGAGCGAACAGACGAGGAGCUUGCUCCUCUAACGUUAGCGGCGGACGGGUGAGUAACACGUGGAUAACCUACCUAUAAGACUGGGAUAACUUCGGGAAACCGGAGCUAAUACCGGAUAAUAUAUUGAACCGCAUGGUUCAAUAGUGAAAGACGGUUUUGCUGUCACUUAUAGAUGGAUCCGCGCCGCAUUAGCUAGUUGGUAAGGUAACAGCUUACCAAGGCAACGAUGCGUAGCCGACCUGAGAGGGUGAUCGGCCACACUGGAACUGAGACACGGUCCAGACUCCUACGGGAGGCAGCAGUAGGGAAUCUUCCGCAAUGGGCGAAAGCCUGACGGAGCAACGCCGCGUGAGUGAUGAAGGUCUUCGGAUCGUAAAACUCUGUUAUUAGGGAAGAACAAAUGUGUAAGUAACUAUGCACGUCUUGACGGUACCUAAUUAGAAAGCCACGGCUAACUACGUG
Molecule: ribosomal RNA, 497 nt
Filed under: uncultured bacterium
Lineage: Bacteria
Description: partial 16S ribosomal RNA
Rfam family: Bacterial small subunit ribosomal RNA
Source: RNAcentral